UACGGAGGGGGCUAGCGUUGUUCGGAAUUACUGGGCGUAAAGCGCACGUAGGCGGCUUUGUAAGUUAGAGGUGAAAGCCCAGGGCUUAACCCUGGAAUUGCCUUUAAGACUGCAUCGCUAGAAUCGUGGAGAGGUGAGUGGAAUUCCGAGUGUAGAGGUGAAAUUCGUAGAUAUUCGGAAGAACACCAGUGGCGAAGGCGACUCACUGGACACGUAUUGACGCUGAG
RNAcentral lists this ribosomal RNA (227 nucleotides) under uncultured bacterium. Its description in RNAcentral is "partial 16S ribosomal RNA". It matches the Rfam family "Bacterial small subunit ribosomal RNA", at positions 524 to 750 of the family's 1533-position model. The record is from RNAcentral.